UACGUAGGGGGCAAGCGUUGUCCGGAAUCAUUGGGCGUAAAGCGCGUGUAGGCGGCCAGGUAAGUCCGUUCUGAAAGCCCGGGGCUCAACCCCGGGAGGCGGAUGAAUACUGCUUGGCUCGAGUCCGGAAGAGGCGAGUGGAAUUCCCGGUGUAGCGGUGAAAUGCGCAGAUAUCGGGAGGAACACCAAUGGCGAAGGCAGCUCGCUGGGACGGUACUGACGCUGAGACGCGAAAGCGUGGGGAGCAAACAGG
Molecule: ribosomal RNA, 253 nt
Filed under: uncultured bacterium
Lineage: Bacteria
Description: partial 16S ribosomal RNA
Rfam family: Bacterial small subunit ribosomal RNA
Source: RNAcentral